GUAGAACGCACAGGAUGCACCGUAGUUUACUACACCGUAUUCUGUGAGUUGCGAACGGGUGAGUAACGCGUAGGUAACCUGCCUGGUAGCGGGGGAUAACUAUUGGAAACGAUAGCUAAUACCGCAUAAGAACAUUUACUGCAUGGUAGAUGUUUAAAAGGUGCAAGAGCAUCACUACCAGAUGGACCUGCGUUGUACUAGCUAGUUGGUGAGGUAACGGCUCACCAAGGCAACGAUACAUAGCCGACCUGAGAGGGUGAUCGGCCACACUGGGACUGAGACACGGCCCAGACUCCUACGGGAGGCAGCAGUAGGGAAUCUUCGGCAAUGGGGGGAACCCUGACCGAGCAACGCCGCGUGAGUGAAGAAGGUUUUCGGAUCGUAAAGCUCUGUUGUUAAGGAAGAACGUGUGUGAGAGUGGAAAGUUCACACAGUGACGGUACUUAACCAGAAAGGGACGGCUAACUACGUGCCAGCAGCCGCGGUAAUACGUAGGUCCCGAGCGUUGUCCGGAUUUAUUGGGCGUAAAGCGAGCGCAGGCGGUUAGAUAAGUCUGAAGUGAAAGGCAGUGGCUCAACCAUUGUAGGCUUUGGAAACUGUUUAACUUGAGUGCAGAAGGGGAGAGUGGAAUUCCAUGUGUAGCGGUGAAAUGCGUAGAUAUAUGGAGGAACACCGGUGGCGAAAGCGGCUCUCUGGUCUGUAACUGACGCUGAGGCUCGAAAGCGUGGGG
RNAcentral lists this ribosomal RNA (730 nucleotides) under uncultured Bacilli bacterium. Its description in RNAcentral is "bacterial SSU rRNA". It matches the Rfam family "Bacterial small subunit ribosomal RNA", at positions 48 to 766 of the family's 1533-position model. Lineage: Bacteria; Bacillati; Bacillota; Bacilli. The record is from RNAcentral.